AUUUAUCACUCACUCCAUACAUGUGGUAACGAUAAGCUUGUGUUCUGUGUCUGUGAGUCUGUGUCUGUUUCAAAAAUAAGUUCAUUUGCAUCAAUUUUAUUUUUUUGUCUUUUUUGCUAUUUCUUGGGCCGCUCCCGCGGUAUAUGGAGGUUCCCAGGCUAGGGGUCCAACCGGAGCUGUAGCCACUGCCCUACGCCAGAGCCACAGCCACGCGGGAUCCGAGCUGUGUCUGCAACCUACACCACAGCUCACGGGGCAACGCCGGAUCAGUUAACCCACUGAGCAAGGGCAGAGACCAAACCCACAACCUCAUGGUUCCUAGUCUAAUUCGUUAACCACUGCGCCACGACGGGAACUCCUGUAUCAUUUUUUAGAUUCCACAUAGAGGUGAUAUCAUAAGGUACUUGUCUUUCUCUGAUUUACUGCUCUUAAUAUGAUAAUCUCCAGGUCCAUCCAUGUUGCUGCAAAUGCUAUUAUAUACAUGUCUCUUUUCUUUUUAAUUUUAUGGUUGCACCCUCCAAAUAUGGAAGUUCCCAGGCCUCAUCUUUAGAGUUGCUACCCCUCUCUCUUUAACCCAGGCUGCCAGGAAUUUCUGCGAAGAGAACCCUGAUGUGCAGACAUGGGAAAAGCUUCAUGGAGCUGUUGUUUCUUGGCAGUCAACAUUCCCCAGAGUAUAGAUGCUAUUACCGAUCUUGCUUAUGAUCUAAAGGAAGGUUUGACAUUGUUGAGACUGAGCUUUGUAACUAACUCUUAGCCCAAGGCCAGGACUGGGAAAAUGAGAAUUUGCUGAGAAAGUGACCCCCACACCCAAACACAAAGUGCGAGCCACUGUACUGAUCACCUGCCAUGAAAGGAACCGGGCUUGGAUUGAUGUCCAAAUAUUGCCAUUGACUUGAUGAAGUAAAAUGAAACUGGGAGCAGACCCAGGGACUUUCAAAUAGAAAUGUUUCUAUUGUUUUUAUCGUUCUGUGUUACGGGAUUUGAAAUGAAAUACCCACAAAAGACUAUCCCCUGCCGUGGGUGGUGAGCUGGGAAAGGCGGGUCGUGAUAAACAAGAAGAGGAAACACAGCAAAGCAAAGAUGCUUUGUGAGGAGGCCGGCACUCCAGUCCUUCAUCAAGGAUGAGGACCAAACAAAGCAGCAUCUAUCUGUCUGAGACAAAGUUCUAGAAAGCAUCCCUCGUUGGCUACUCAAGGGUU
This 1199-nucleotide long non-coding RNA is filed under the name Sus scrofa (pig). RNAcentral describes it as "lncRNA (ENSSSCG00025029250.1)". Lineage: Eukaryota; Metazoa; Chordata; Mammalia; Artiodactyla; Suidae. The record is from RNAcentral.